CCUACGUGUGGUAGCAGUGAGGAAUAUUGGUCAAUGGACGAGAGUCUGAACCAGCCAAGUAGCGUGAAGGAUGACUGCCCUAUGGGUUGUAAACUUCUUUUAUAUGGGAAUAACAUGUUCCACGUGUGGGAUUUUGUAUGUACCCUAUGAAUAAGGAUCGGCUAACUCCGUGCCAGCAGCCGCGGUAAUACGGAGGAUUCGAGCGUUAUCCGGAUUUAUUGGGUUUAAAGGGAGCGUAGGUGGAUUGUUAAGUCAGUUGUGAAAUUUUGCGGCUCAACCGUAAAAUUGCAGUUGAAACUGGCAGUCUUGAGUACAGUAGAGGUGGGCGGAAUUCGUGGUGUAGCGGUGAAAUGCUUAGAUAUCACGAAGAACUCCGAUUGCGAAGGCAGUUCACUGGACUGCAACUGACACUGAGGCUCGAAAGUGUGGGUAUCAAACAGGAUUAGAUACCCCGGUAGUC
Molecule: ribosomal RNA, 460 nt
Filed under: uncultured bacterium
Lineage: Bacteria
Description: partial 16S ribosomal RNA
Rfam family: Bacterial small subunit ribosomal RNA
Source: RNAcentral